Molecule: long non-coding RNA, 933 nt
Organism: Daktulosphaira vitifoliae (grape phylloxera)
Lineage: Eukaryota; Metazoa; Arthropoda; Insecta; Hemiptera; Phylloxeridae
Exons: 3
Source: RefSeq, a predicted model, not a curated record
CUUACUGAACACCCUGUAUAAGUGCAUAUAUUCAUGUAAUUAAAAAAUAGUCAAUAGCUAUUCAGAAUUUAACACUGAUCAAUAAGAAUAAAAAUGAAGUUUUGGAUAUUGAUAUCAUUUUUGUUGAUUUUAUCCUGUGUGGUUUUUAAUGAAGUUUCAAUAUUUAAAGGUAAAAUUUACGAAGUUCUUCUAUAGUUUUAAACUAUGAAAGAUUUAAAACUAAUGUAGUAUAAUUUUCAACACAUGUAUUAAAUAUCACAUAUAUAUGAAUAAAGCAAAAAAUCAUCUAAGGAAUGUUUCCCUUUUAGGGUAAUAAAAAUAACUAUUUAUUACACUAAAACAGUGACAAUAAGGACUUAUUAGCAUGGAUUUGUAUAAAUACAGGAGAAUAAUAAAGGAAUACUUGGUCAUUGGACUACAGUUAAAUGUAUAUUAAUGAAACAAUCAAAAUUAAACAAACUUCAGUAAAUAUAUUCAAUUUAAGUAAUAAUUUGCUUUUUUAGAAAAAUUAUGACAAUGAUAGCUGUAUAACAAGAUAAAUUACCAUUAAAAAUAGCAACUUUGCACAAAGGUUUAAUUUUUAAAAACUAAAAAAGAAAUUUGUUCUGACGACAUGUGUUCUGUAUGUAAACGGUUCCCAAAAUUAGAUAUAAAAUACGCCCGUACUCAUGGAUGUGAUUGGGUUGAAGGUACAAUGAGAUUGGCUGCAGCGAAUGAACAUUUAGACUACAUUAAAUACGCUUAUGAAAAUGGUUGUAAGUGGGAUGAAGGCACAACAAGAGAAGCUGCUGCUAGUGGUCAUAUUGACUGUUUGAUAUAUGCACAUAGAAAUGGAUGUAAAUGGGAUGAAGGGACAAUGAGUGGAGAUGCUGCAAAUGGUCACUUAGACUGCCUAAAAUAUAGUCAUUUAAAUGGGUGUGUUUGGGACGAAGG